Long non-coding RNA from Hemicordylus capensis (graceful crag lizard), 1456 nucleotides. RefSeq lists it as uncharacterized. The record is from RefSeq and is a predicted model, not a curated record. Lineage: Eukaryota; Metazoa; Chordata; Lepidosauria; Squamata; Cordylidae. The transcript has 5 exons.
UUGGUCAGUCAGUACAGAAGGGAGGAGGUGAGCCAGGGGCUUGGAGAGAGAAGGGCGAUUUCUCUGGUGAAGAGAGAAGUGGGGCUUGGCUGGAGGCAGGGUUGAAUCGGUCCUCCCCUGGAAAGCCAAGGCCUGUUCAGGGGAAGAGCCAAUAGUCUUCAGCAGAAAUUCUGCAACUAUGAAACCUCCUGAACCCCAGAAGGAAGAAAGACUGUUAACAUCUCUGUAAAUUUUGAAAAUACUUUGAAAACACUGCGGCCAUGUACCUCUGCUGAAGAGAGACUCCCACACGCCUACACAAACAAGAGCGGGGAGAAGUGAGAGGUUGUCUCCGAUCCUACCUAACUGGAUCUGAGUGGUGGCAGCAAAGUGCAGCCAUUCAAUUCUGAACCUCUACUCUGACACAAUGUGCCACCCUGCACAGCAGCAGUGAAGUGCCAAGCUAUUUUGCGUCUGAGAUUUACAGGCAUGCCUUGCCUCUUUGUGACAUAAAAGUGAUGGAUAUUAUUUCUCCAUUAGAAAAAUACUUAAUUUCAAAACAUAAAUAUUUUAUGUAUUAUAAUUUUUUUUAAAAAAGUGUAAAGCGCAAUGAUGAUCUCCAAAGUACUUUCAUCUCAUUCCAAAGAGGUCCCUACUCAAGAUUUUUCUAGCCUCCAGUUGGAAUUUGCACCAGACAGGAUGGACUCUGAUCUCUCAAAUCAAAUGGCCAUUUCACCAUGCAUAAUCACACUCAGUGUCACUGAAAACAAGGCAGCAAAAGCAAUCAGAAAAGCUUGUGACUGGAAAUAGAAGCUGGACACAUUAAAACAAAAAGGGAUAAGAAGAUGGCAGGUUACUGGAACCCACAGAAAACCAACUUAUGAAGUUAGUUGCCAUGGUUUUAAGUGAUCACAUGGCAAAUAGUUAUCUGUUUCCACCUUGAGCAACCUUUUUUGAAAUACUUUUUGUAUGUGGGUGCAAGAUACAUGCACCUUUUUUGAGUACAAAUACAUACACCUUGUUUCACUUGCAUGGAAGCAGCUGAAGCUACACUUGGAGAUAUUCUCCAACAGAGACAUGUCAGUAUGAAUCAAGUAGAUACAGACUGAUUCAGGUAGAAUCAGGUAGAUACAGCUAGCUGCAACGUCCUCCUCUCAUACAUGGCAUCAGCUGGAAAAAAACGUUGUAUACAGUUCUAAAUGAUGAACACAUGCUUAGAUUACUACUUUUCUCAUUAGGCAAUUUCAACAUCAGAAAUAUCCAUUUAUAUUCUACCUCUGAUGUUGAACUGAGUUUACUCGGGGUACAUACAGGAAGUAGUGGUCUAGGAUAUGUUGGUCCCAAUCCAUUUAGGUCUUGAAGGUAAGACUCUUAGCUCCAGGCUGACAAUCCUCCCCAAUCAACAGUACCUCUGCUUGACCUGGAUGAAGGUUUGGUUUGCUCACUCGCAUCCAGUCCCUCACUGCUCUCAAAUGCU